RNAcentral lists this long non-coding RNA (4074 nucleotides) under Carica papaya (papaya). RNAcentral describes it as "long non-coding RNA (CPAP_LNC015844)". Lineage: Eukaryota; Viridiplantae; Streptophyta; Magnoliopsida; Brassicales; Caricaceae. The record is from RNAcentral.
AUGAGUAAAAAGCAAACAAGUGGGGGUUUGUAGAAUCCAAUACACAAAAUAUAAAAUAAACAAUAAGUAGAAUAAUAUUAAACAAACUCUUGACUGUAAAUUUGAAACUAAAACAAUUAUAAGAAGAAUUCCUAAUCGAUGAAAUAGUUAGCUCUGGUAAUAUAAUUGAUCAUACAUACAAGGGUGCAUUUUAACCAAAAUAUGGCAAAUCAGUUAUAGUUGUCGGAAACGUUCCAACAACCAAUCCUUCUUUAUUCCUAAACCAAUAAAGAAAUAUUCAUUAGUUGGUUCUUCACUGCCAAGCAGUCAUCGAAACACCCACAGAAUUUAACUUGUCAAUGGCUUUGAGAGCUAGAAGGACCUGAUUCAAGUUGUCGGAUUCAUCCGCGUGAACUAUUCAACUAGAAUACUUACAUCCUUAGUGUUGAACUGAUCGCUACUUGAUGUCGAAACCAUUCAAACAAUUUUAAAUUUGAGAGGUUCAGCUAUCUUCUUUCAGUUUCUCUUCUCAUAUGACGGGCUCUAUUCAAACGGGUUCAAAACAACAAAUAUAUAUUGGUGCAAGAAGUAAAUAAAUACUAGCUCUAAAAUAAAACUCAAAUUAAUUCGAUUAGAUCUAACAAAUACAUUACUGGAGAUUGCUAGAUCUAUCAACUAGGAAAAGAAAAAUAAAUCAACUACUAUGGUGGACUUUUUAACACAAAUGAGUUCUUGGAGAGUAUUAGAAAGAAGAAAGAUAAAAAAAAUUACAGAAGUUGUUGUGUACGACAUCGAGAAGAAGAGAGAUGAUGAUUCUGCUUUGACAGUCGCCCUCUUUAUAUAAAAAGAGAUAAGGUUUUUUUGUUUUAUUAAUUAGGUUCUUUUUCCUUAUUUUUGGUUUAUCCCAAGCUUUCUAGAGUAUGUUCCCCUUUAGUUUGGCCCCAAAUCUUAGCUUGAAUGAUAUCUUUUUUACAUAUUUAAAAAGCAAACAUUUUAAUUUAAAUCUGCUAUUGUGCGCGACUUUUAGCCUUGAUCAAGGCUAAGUUGUCUGAGGCAGGACCCAAGCUUUGGCCAAGACUUGUUUCUGGGCUGAUGAUUAUUUUCACAAACUCUUCCUCCUUUUAUAUUAUUUUUUCAAGUUUCCUCCUUAUGUCCUGUAUUGCAACAAAACAUAGAAAGCAACUCGGAUUAGAUAACAUACCAUCAAGUUUAACAACCCAAAAGUGGGUGAUAAUGAUGUCCUUUUUAGGCAUUAUCAAACUCCCCCACACUUAUCUUGUGUUUACCCUCAAGGACUACACAAUACACUCCAUCAAUCCCCAUCUCUUCACCUUCAACUCACUUACUCCCAAUCAUUUCAUCACAACCCGCAUGUUACACCUCAACUCUCAAGUUGCGAGAAUAACCUUCAACUAGUAAUUUAUAGGUUUGAGUUUUAUAGAACCACACAAAUGAAUAACCACUUUGACAACAUCCAAACACUACAUAAAAGAGUUUUGUAAAUUUAACACAAAAAAAUUUCAUUGAGGGGAAUAGCCAAGAUCUAGCAGAACAACCAACAAACUUUUUUAGAUACAUGGAUUCAUGCAAUUGGUCCAUGCCAUAAAUAAAAAAGCUUGAGCACCUUUACUUACUUGAAAUGCCAUCAACCUUUUGACGCAAGGGUAAACAUUUAUGAUGAAUGCACCUGGUUACUUAGUUGAUUCACUAGUUUUAUGUGGCUACUAGUGCUACUCAUAGUCAUUUAACUAGAGGACUAGAUUAUUAUGCAUGCUCUCUUUUUUUUUCCUUUCAUUGUGUGUGCGUUUUAUCUCCAUCUCACACUUUUACUUCAAUUGUUUUUCAAAGUGAGUGCAUUUUACACUUCAUCUCACUCUCACAUAAUAGAUAAUUUGAUUUAUUCAUUUAAAGCACAAAAUUCCAGAUAAGUUGUAGAUGAGUUCUUUCUAAGUAUUGAUAUUCAUUCAAAAAUAAGAGAUAAUUAAUUUUUUAAUAGACAACUAUCAAACAAGUCAUGUUCAAUAUGUAAUCAAAGAUAACCAUUUAUGGUGUGAAAAAAUGAAAAAUAGGCUAAAAUUCUUAGGAGAUGGUUAUAAGUGCAAAUCGACUUUUGAAAUGCCCCAUUAGAGUUGUUUAAAAAUAAUAGAGAUAGUUGUGAAGAUUGGAGCAAAAUAAAUUGUUGGAGGUGUAUGUGUGGUGUGGCAAAAAUUAGGCAAGGUCUAAAUACCUAGAAUGAGAUGUUAAAAAGAAAAACUAGCUACCUAAGAUGCAGAAUGCAGAAUGUCUCUCCCCUACACUUAAACUAUAUAUUGUCCCUAAUGUGAUGCAAAUAAUGAAAAUUAAAAAUAAAGUCACAGAUUAACUCCCCUUGUUAUUUGACUUAGAGGUGGGAUGCAUUGGGAAACAUCAGUUUUUUAGAAACACCAAAUGUUUUGCCAUGUGAGAUAAGCCUUGGGCAAGGCUUAUGUGGGGAAUGACACAUGGCCAUGUCGAGCAUGCAUGCAACCACAUAUUUCUUUGGAUUUUGUUGAUUUCCUUGUAUAGAUAUGACACGGCCGUGUUUCCCUCAUAAAAAUGCUUUUGUGGUAGCACAUAAUCGUGUCUUAAGAGUCUGGUACAUGCCUUAAGCAAGGCUUAUGUGUAGAUUAACACAUUGCUGUGUUGGGCAAGCACACAAUUGUGUUUCCCGCACAAAAAUGCUUUGGUGGUAACACAUAACUGUGUCAUAUGGACAAGGCAUGUCACAUGGUCUUGUCUCCUGAGCACACGACUGUGUCUUAUGGGCCUGACACAAGCCUUAGUCAAGGCUUGUUCAGUUGUUCUAGAGUUUGGCAUUUUUUCCUACUCCACUACCUGAAUUUCCUAUCCCCACUUUCUAAUCACCAUAGAACUCAUGUUAACUCAAAGAGAAAUGUUAUAAAUAAAUUAAAAUCACUAAUGCAAAUAAUAAAAACUAAAAAAGAAUAAAGAAAAAUGGAUGGGUUACCUCCCAUCAAGCACCCUUGUUUUAUGUCCUAGGAUAGACAUUGUCAAUUUUUAAGCACUCAAAUCAGUUUGUCUUCUUAUAGCCUGCUUAGCUCGUUAAAACUUAUCACUAGAAGGGUCACUUAUCCUCCCAAUAACACACAUUUCAUAUGUUCACGUGGCAGUUUGAGCUCCAGUUUUGGUGUCUGCAAACAUAAAGUAAAAGUUCUAUGUCAAAACUAGGAAAGUCAACACACGAUUCAUUGCUCCCUUGAGGUUUAAGUGCCUCCAAUUCGAACACCACAUCUUGUGGAUUCUUUUUAGCAACAAGAUCCUCUUCUAAAAUUUUUAGCCUCAAUUUUUUCCUCAUAUUAUGCAUAAAUGGAUGCAUAUAUAUAUAUAAUAGAUGGAAUUUCUUUGAGAUCCAAGGGUGACUCUAUUAUCCAAUUGGUACUAUUAUGAGAUUAGGAUUUCCAUUAUUACGAGGGGAUACACACAUAGCUAAAACAUGCACAAUGGUCACAAUAGUUCGUCGCUAGGUAACCCAGAACACAACACACACUGCAACCACGUCUGGAAGAGUUUCCAUUCACCCAAAGAUAGGGUUCCCCACACCAUUGAAUUUUAGCCAUACCAAUCUUAAAUGAGUUAACUCUAAAUUUUUGCUUCUUCCAAGUUUUUGUUUUGUUUUCUUUUUCUUCCUAUUCUUGUUAAGAUUGAUAUUUUUAUUUUUUCUAAUAGACUAAUUAUAUUCCAUAAAGACUUUGUACACUUUCUUAGUUAACCUUAUUCUAUAUUUCACGCUAUUCUAAUUCUCCCAAUCUGUCUCUUUUUCAUCCUUAUAGAACUAUUCACUAAUUCCCCUUAAUCAUAUACUUUUUGGUUUAUUGUAAUAUAUUUAGUUAUUAAUUUUUUAUUAUUUAUGUUUUAGUGCUUUUAUUAUUUUUUAGUUUUUAGUUUUAUUAGUUUUAUUUAGAAUUACUAAUUUUAUUUAAGAAUGUGUAUUUUUUUGUUGAUCUUAUUUUAUUUGUGAGAGUUUUUUUGUGUUCAUGAUCUUAUUGGUAAAUAUACACUACUAUUAUUAUUCUACUCAGACUAUUCAACUCAUCAUAUCAUCAACCAUCAUACAAU